RNA transcript from Brachypodium distachyon (stiff brome), 3086 nucleotides. It is a transcript of the gene named protein LOW PSII ACCUMULATION 3, chloroplastic, with no coding region annotated. The transcript is spliced from 3 exons. The record is from RefSeq and is a predicted model, not a curated record. Lineage: Eukaryota; Viridiplantae; Streptophyta; Magnoliopsida; Poales; Poaceae.
AAAAGUUGAGUAUUUUUAUUACUGAGGGAAAAAGUGGAGUUAUAUUUGAUUUUCCAAACAUAGCCGUGCUUAAAAGCACAUAACCUGUCAUUGUACCCACGCACUUCUUCUCCCCUUCUGAACAUGAUAAGAAUCUUCCAGAACCUUCUGCAACCAUUCCUCAGACCCCACCACAGCUCUAUUCCCCUCCGCGGCUUCUACUCCCUCGCGCCGCCUCCGGACCCUGCCGCGCCGCCGUACGCCGUCGACAUCUUCCAAUGGAACGCCGUCAUCACCGCCCACCUCCGCGCCGGCAGGGUGGCCGCCGCGCGCCGCGUGUUCGACGAAAUGCCGGAGCGGAACGUCUUCACGUGGAACUGCAUGAUCUCGGGCCUCGUCGGGAACCGGAUGCUCGCCGACGCGCGCAGGGUGUUCGACGCGAUGCCCGUGAGGAACCCCGUCUCGUGGGCGGCGCUCCUGACGGGCUACGCGCGGUGCGGGAGGGUCGCCGAGGCCCGGGAGCUCUUCGACCGGAUGCCGGACCGGAACGUGGUCUCCUGGAACGCCAUGAUGUCGGGCUAUCUGCGCAACGGGAUGGUCGAGCGUGCGCGCGAGCUGUUCGACAUGAUGCCGUCCAGGAAUGACGUCUCGUGGCUGACGAUGAUCUCUGGUUAUAUCAAGAAGCGGCGUCUCCGUGAGGCGAGGGAGCUGUUUGACCUCUCGCCUUCCCAUCCGACUUCGGUGUGCAACGCGUUGCUGUCGGGCUACGUCGCUCUUAGUUGCUUGAAGGAUGCAGAGGAGCUGUUUGGUCGGAUGCAGAGACGGGACCCUGUUUCCUGGAAUGUUAUGAUCACAGGCUAUGCUCGGGCUGGACGGAUGCAGGUUGCUCAGAGUCUGUUUGAUGAGAUGCCCCAAAAGGACACCAUAUCUUGGACAGCCGUUAUGCGUGGGUAUUUGCAGAAUGGAGAUGUUGAUGCUUCAUGGAAGGUGUUCCAGGACAUACCUGAUCGGGAUGUUGUUGCUUGGAACACGAUGAUGGGUGGUUUUGUGCAGAGUGAGAGGUUGGAUGAUGCUUUGAGAUUGUUUGCUGAGAUGCCAGAGAGGGAUCUGGUAUCAUGGAAUACAAUCCUGCAAGGCCAUGUUCAACAAGGGGACAUGGCUACUGCAAAUACCUGGUUCAGAGGAAUGCCUGAGAAAGAUGAGACCUCGUGGAACACAUUGAUCUCUGGGCACAAAGAUGAAGGAGCACUAGCUUUGCUCUCAGAAAUGAUCCGAGGAGGACUCAGACCUGACGAAGCUACUUUGAGUGUUGUUAUUUCUAUCUGUGCCUCACUUGUCGCACUCGGAUAUGGAAAAAUGGUGCACCUCUAUGCAGUCAAAACUGGGUUUGAGCAUGACGCAUUGGUGAUGAGCUCAUUGAUAUCUAUGUACUCGAAAUGCGGGCUAAUCGCUGAAGCUUCCCAAGUUUUCAAGCUGCUGGUGCAAAGAGAUACAGUGACAUGGAAUGCCAUGAUUGCAACAUAUGCUUAUCAUGGUAUGGCUUCUGAAGCUCUGAAACUCUUCAACAAGAUGACUAAAGAUGGGUUUCGUCCAGACCAUGCAACCUUUCUAAGUGUAUUGUCUGCUUGUGCGCACAAAGGCGAUUUAUAUGAAGGUUGCCGCUAUUUUAGAAGUAUGCAAGAAGAUUGGAAUUUGACUCCAAGAUCUGAUCACUAUUCUUGUAUGGUUGAUCUCCUAGGAAGAUUGGGUUUUAUUUACCAGGCUUAUGAUUUCACAAGAAAAAUCCCAUCCGACCUUCAAAUAAAUGCUUGGGAGACAUUGUUUAGUGCAUGCAAUGCUCAUGGGGAUGUCCAACUUGGAGAAGUGAUUGCAAAAGAUGUCCUUCAGGCCCGACCUUCUGAUGGAGGAAUGUAUACACUCUUGGCAAACAUAUAUGCUUCAAAAGAGAUGUGGAGCAGUGCUGCCAGUGUUAGAGGAGUCAUGAAAGAGCAGGGGUUAAAGAAGGAGACUGGUUGUAGUUGGGUUGAGCUGAAGGGAGAAGUUGUUUCCUUCUCAUCAAAUGAUAAUGCACAUCCUCUGAUUGAGUGGAUAUGCCAAGAGGUUGAUAAUCUUUCUGUCAUGAUAGAAGAGGGAGCUUGAUAUCAUUCUCAAAUGGAACUCUGAAAUUUGGUGAGGUAAUUUGAUGACCCUCAUGUCUUCAAAGACCAAACACCUUUUUAUGGCAGGGGCUUGGGAUAUGCCCAAACGAAAGGUUUUGAAAGAUUGCGAGUUACUGAAUUACGAGUAUUAGUACCUGCUCAAAGGAAGUUAAAACAAGACUACAGUCUCAUACUCUGGGAACUCUUUGGUCAUGACUGGAAGAGGUGAGACAAGGUGAGGUACUGGAACAAUAAAUUCUGCAUAAGUGGCAUUAUGUCUUUAUUUCUCAUCCAAGAGUCAAAGCUGCUAGAGAUCUCAAGCUGCUAAACGUAAUUUACUAAGACUACACUGGCCCACUGUAUCAAGAUUUUAGAACAAACCAGAUUGGAAAAAAUCUGUGUCUUAUAAAUCAAGAUAGCAGCAUAUGCAACAGAGCUAAAUGUAGCUUUCAUGACAGGCGAGAUAUUUUCCUAUCACAGCAAUUGGAGACCACACAGUAAGGCCCCACAAACAGAUUGGUACUCCAAUGUCAUUUUCCUCCAUUACCACACACUCAAUUCUCUCUCUAUCUCCCCCCACCUCCACCCACAGGCCUUACCACCAAACCUCAGGCUUCAAUGGCCAUGGCAACCAGUUAUUCAAUCUCCAACCCAACAUUUACCUCCAAAUCUUCUCUUCCUAAUAAACAAGUCCCAAAUUGGAUAUUUCCUAUAAUCAGCAGUGAUAAUGGCAGUGGGGGUAUGUUCACUUUGGCGAGGAGGAGUUUAAGAGCAGGGUUCCAUGUUUGUGCUGUCACUGGGGACCAGAACACUCGCAAUGUCUUUAGUGCAAAUUUCCCAAGCGAUUAUACGGAACUUCUACUGCAGGUGCACCAAUGUUUAUACCUCUUUUUGUGCGGCGAGGUUACAGUUGCAGACAGUUGUUAUAAAAGUAACAUAUAUGAAGGGUCGUAUGGAGUUUUGUGCUUG